AUUUAAAUAAUUAGGUAGUCUAAUCUUUCUAUAAAAACCAAUAAGUUUUGGCGGCAUUUCAUCUUAUUAGAGGAACCUGUAUUUUAAUCGAUAAUCCACGUUAAUUUUUACUCAUAAUAAUAUUUUAUAUACCGCCAUCUAAAGAAUUAACCCUAAUGUCCUAUUCUUAACAAUUUCUAAAAAGUUAGGUCAAGGUGUAAACCAUUUAUGAGAUAAAUAUGGGUUACAUUAAAAAAUAUUUAAGGACCUAAAACAACUUUAAAGAAAAAAAGGAUUUAAAAAUAAAUUAAAAAUAAUAUUUUUAAUUGAAUCAGAUAAUAAAUGUGU
RNAcentral lists this ribosomal RNA (327 nucleotides) under Stemonyphantes abantensis. RNAcentral's name for it is "partial 12S ribosomal RNA". The record is from RNAcentral. Lineage: Eukaryota; Metazoa; Arthropoda; Arachnida; Araneae; Linyphiidae.